UCUGCUGAGGGGGUGGAGGCCGCAGGCAGGAGGGCGGGGGAGCUGUGCCCUCCCAGGUAGGCGUCGCUUGCUCGCUGCCUGGAGGGCCCCGCGCUGCCCCGCCUUUCCCCUCCUCCUGGGUCUGGGGUGGCGACAACUGUCGGCCGCAGGGACGGCCCAGGUCCCUGCACGCAGGUCUUGGACGCAGGUCUCGGUCAGUGUGAGAAGUAGGAAACACGCGAGCGAGGGAAUUGAGUGAGGAUGCUCGGGAAAUGACCCUGAAGGAGAGGUGGUAUUAAAAUCAGAUGGAUGUCGAAGCGAUCUAUAGAUCAUCAGUAGAAGAGCUUCCCUCAGUUGUUCAAGAAAAAAUUGAAAAUUUUUUGAAAAGAGAAUCAAUAGCACAUUCACAGGGAGCAUGGAAGUAUUGUCCUAGGCAACAGAAGCUAGCAGUGAACAAAACAGACAACAUCUCCUGCUCAUAUACAACUAUAGCUCAUGAUGUCUUCCGGCUUCAGUGUAUUUAGAGUUGGGAUCUCUUUUGUCAUGAUGUGCAUUGUUUACAAGUCAACUGAAGAUUCUUUGCCAGAUCUGACUCCUCAGAAAUAUUUUAGUACAUUGCAACCAGGAAAAGCCUCUUUAGCUUAUUUUUUUC
This is a non-coding RNA of Castor canadensis (American beaver), 631 nucleotides long. NCBI's taxonomy places the organism in Eukaryota, Metazoa, Chordata, Mammalia, Rodentia, Castoridae. The record is from RefSeq and is a predicted model, not a curated record.